GACAUACUCCCUCCGUCCAACAAAUUGUCUCAAGUUUGUCAAAAUUUGGAUGUAUCACAUGACUUAGUGUAUAGAUGCAUUCAAAUUUAGUCAAAGUUGAGACAUCUUUUAUUUGACGGAGGAAGUAGAUU
Brachypodium distachyon (stiff brome) is the source of this 131-nucleotide non-coding RNA. NCBI's taxonomy places the organism in Eukaryota, Viridiplantae, Streptophyta, Magnoliopsida, Poales, Poaceae. The record is from Rfam.